GACGAACGCUGGCGGCGUGCUUAACACAUGCAAGUCGAACGGAAAGGCCCUGCUUUUGUGGGGUGCUCGAGUGGCGAACGGGUGAGUAACACGUGAGUAACCUGCCCUUGACUUUGGGAUAACUUCAGGAAAAUGGGGCUAAUACCGGAUAGGAGCUCCUGCUGCAUGGUGGGGGUUGGAAAGUUUCGGCGGUUGGGGAUGGACUCGCGGCUUAUCAGCUUGUUGGUGGGGUAGUGGCUUACCAAGGCUUUGACGGGUAGCCGGCCUGAGAGGGUGACCGGCCACAUUGGGCCUGAGAUACGGCCCAGACUCCUACGGGAGGCAGCAGUGGGGAAUAUUGCACAAUGGGCGGAAGCCUGAUGCAGCAACGCCGCGUGCGGGAUGACGGCCUUCGGGUUGUAAACCGCUUUCGCCUGUGACGAAGCGUGAGUGACGGUAAUGGGUAAAGAAGCACCGGCUAACUACGUG
RNAcentral lists this ribosomal RNA (468 nucleotides) under uncultured bacterium. RNAcentral's name for it is "partial 16S ribosomal RNA". It matches the Rfam family "Bacterial small subunit ribosomal RNA", at positions 28 to 507 of the family's 1533-position model. The record is from RNAcentral.